RNAcentral lists this ribosomal RNA (598 nucleotides) under uncultured bacterium. Its description in RNAcentral is "bacterial SSU rRNA". It matches the Rfam family "Bacterial small subunit ribosomal RNA", at positions 338 to 955 of the family's 1533-position model. The record is from RNAcentral.
CCUACGGGAGGCAGCAGUGGGGAAUAUUGGACAAUGGGCGAAAGCCUGAUCCAGCAAUGCCGCGUGAGUGAUGAAGGCCUUCGGGUCGUAAAGCUCUUUUACCAGGGAUGAUAAUGACAGUACCUGGAGAAUAAGCUCCGGCUAACUCCGUGCCAGCAGCCGCGGUAAUACGGAGGGAGCUAGCGUUGUUCGGAAUUACUGGGCGUAAAGAGUACGUAGGCGGUUAUUCAAGUCAGAGGUGAAAGCCCGGGGCUCAACCCCGGAACUGCCUUUGAAACUAGAUAACUAGAGUCUUGGAGAGGUUAGUGGAAUUCCGAGUGUAGAGGUGAAAUUCGUAGAUAUUCGGAAGAACACCAGUGGCGAAGGCGACUAACUGGACAAGUACUGACGCUGAGGUACGAAAGCGUGGGGAGCAAACAGGAUUAGAUACCCUGGUAGUCCACGCCGUAAACGAUGAUAACUAGUUGUUCGGUCACUUGGUGACUGAGUGACGCAGCUAACGCAUUAAGUUAUCCGCCUGGGGAGUACGGUCGCAAGAUUAAAACUCAAAGUAUAAGUACGACGNGNGAGAGCGACGACGACGACGACGGAGGAGGAG